Molecule: long non-coding RNA, 325 nt
Organism: Antechinus flavipes (yellow-footed antechinus)
Lineage: Eukaryota; Metazoa; Chordata; Mammalia; Dasyuromorphia; Dasyuridae
Exons: 3
Source: RefSeq, a predicted model, not a curated record
UCUCCAGCCGUGAACCACCUGGACUCCAGCAGUAACCCGUCCUCCACCACCUCCUCCACACUAUCCUCCCCCGCGCCCUUUCAGUCUUCCAAUCCUCCCAGUGCGACGCCGCACCCGAACCCCUCGCCGAUGGCUCAGCGGGACAGCAGGUUUAAUUUCUCAGACAUCUCUACCCCAUCCCAAGCACCCCAAGUCCCUGAUGCAGCUGAAGAGACACGGGUCAAUGACCAGCCGAAAGCCAGUAUGACUGAGGACCAUGAAACAGAGGCGAGCUUGGAGAUGGCACAGCAGAGAUCUGUGGGUCAAUCACUCCUCUCCUCUGCCC